This 1629-nucleotide long non-coding RNA is filed under the name Homo sapiens (human). RNAcentral's name for it is "HSALNT0377470". Lineage: Eukaryota; Metazoa; Chordata; Mammalia; Primates; Hominidae. The record is from RNAcentral.
UCCCCCCAGCCUGGCUGCUGAGCCCUGUCUCCCCAGUGGUUCUUUUCUCUACGCAUCUCUGAAUGUGACUGCUUUAGGGUGAAUCUCCUCCUUCUUGUUCCACCCACCUGCCAAUUUGUGUUAUGCUCCUGAUGUUGACAGCUUGCCUGGACCACUUCCUUUCUCUAUAGCCUUGAACCCUGCAGACACUGGAUUCUGCCUCUUGGGCUGAACUUCUUCUUGAGGCCUCUCCAUUGGGUGGCUCUGUCUUUCCUAGGCUUCCUCAUCUUGAUGCAAGGAAGAAGGUACACACUUGGCCAUGCAUGGUCUGAGAUGUAACAAUUAGUUUUAGGAAGUGCCUACUUCUGUGAGCAAAUAAUCAAUUACCUGUCAUAGCAGCCACUCUUUCCUGAAACUGCCUUCCAACCAGGUGUGCAGUUUCUGAAAUUCUACCAAUGGCUUUACUUCCUCCAGGUGUCUUCUGGAGGAGUAAGGAACCGUGACCAGACAGACACAAAUACAUAUGGCCAUUAGUAAUAUCAUUACCAAGCUAACUACAGGAAUCCAGGGCAGUAUGCAGGCAUAAGAGGUCCAGGAAGAGCAGAACAGAAGACAGUUGUGUGGAGAGCAAGUGAAGAGAGGCACUGAAGACAAACUCUCCCAUCCUUCUGACUUUACCUGGUCCCAGUCCUGGGAGGUGGAACUGAUGGGAUUAAUAAGAAACCAGGCAUGAGAAGCCAUGCAGAUGUAAAUUUGGAAAUCAACAUAUUGAUAGUUGGAGUCACUGGAGUAGGAUGUCUGCCAGCUCCUCUCCAGCCACCCAUUCUCAUAGCGGGUGAGCCAGACCACAUCUGCUAAUCCAGGAGCACAGCUCAGGACUAGUCUAUGCGGAUGGAAUCUCUCUCCAGCCUUUUCUCUAUGUCAGUUUUAUCUACCUGGCAAGAAAAAACAAAAACAACCCCAAAACAACCCCUCCCCACAAACACAACACAAAACAAGGGACUCGAAAAGUUGGAGAAAACCUUUUAAUGUGUUUCUGUAAAAUCCUUUCUUAGGAGGUUUAGUACAGGUACUACCCAUCAGCAACUUAGCCGGCCAGGUGAGUUGGUGCAGAAGGGCUUCGGCUGAAUUUAUACCAGAGCCAUCGGGAGUGACUUGGCCACCUCUCCCAAUUACCACAAGGAAGUCUUAAAAUUGAAUUUCAGUUUCAGCAGAUACUUCAGAUUUACCUGAGCAAUAUCAUAGACAAUGUACUCAUUAUAUAGUAGACAAGUGUCAUUCACACCAGAUGAAAUCCCAGUCCCAAGAGGAACCUCUGCACCAUCCAGAGUAAUACUAGCUGAAGGGUCAGGGGUAGUUUUGCCCAAACCUUUGACACUGUGCUUGCCCUUGGGUAACUUGCUGAUAUGUGAAGCGUGCUUCAGUUCAUACAUUUUCCAAGGGCAACUUCUCCCAACAGGAUUAAGCCUGUUGGGCCUCCCUGAGAUGUAUGGCAGUAGUUGGCACUCUUGGAGGCCAUGUCAGCGAAAUAGAUCCCUUUACCAAACAUGUAGCCCGUCAUGGGCACUUCAGGCGGGGCUAUCCAAAGACCCUGGGACAGGAUCCCAGCAAAGCUGGUGGUUGUGGACCCGGGGCAUGGGCCUUUCUAUC